RNAcentral lists this ribosomal RNA (274 nucleotides) under uncultured bacterium. RNAcentral describes it as "partial 16S ribosomal RNA". It matches the Rfam family "Bacterial small subunit ribosomal RNA", at positions 523 to 796 of the family's 1533-position model. The record is from RNAcentral.
AUACAGAGGGUGCGAGCGUUAAUCGGAAUUACUGGGCGUAAAGCGCGCGUAGGAGGCUACUUAAGUCAGAUGUGAAAUCCCCGGGCUCAACCUGGGAACUGCAUCUGAUACUGGGUAGCUAGAGUUUUGGAGAGGGAAGUAGAAUUUCAGGUGUAGCGGUGAAAUGCAUAGAGAUCUGAAGGAAUACCAGUGGCGAAGGCGACUUCCUGGCCAAAAACUGACGCUGAGGUGCGAAAGCGUGGGUAGCAAACGGGAUUAGAUACCCUAGUAGUCC